This 201-nucleotide long non-coding RNA is filed under the name Capsella rubella. RNAcentral describes it as "long non-coding RNA (CRUB_LNC001700)". The record is from RNAcentral. Lineage: Eukaryota; Viridiplantae; Streptophyta; Magnoliopsida; Brassicales; Brassicaceae.
CCCUUUUCAAAUAUGAAAAAUUAUAAACUUUUAUAUGGUUGAUAAGGUACAUCAAGAUCAUUAUUACUACAGGGAGACUAAAUCCAAAUAUUUUGAUGGUUGUAAAAGGUUCUAAACGGUAUUUAUAUGGUUUUUAUAAGGUUUUUAAAAGGUUUACAAAGUUUUUAUAAGAUUUUUAUAUGAUUUUUAAAAGGUAUUUAU